CGAACACUGGCGGCAUGGAUUAGGCAUGCAAGUCGAACGAGAACGUUCCCUUCGGGGAACUAGUACAGUGGCGAACGGGUGAGUAACAGGUGGAAAACCUGCCCUACAAUGGGGGAUAACAGUUCUAACGAGCUGCUAAUACCGCAUACGACCUUUGGAACGCAUGUUCCGGGGGUGAAAGGUGGCCUCUCUUUGAAGCUGCCGUUGAAGGAUGGUUCCGCCUCCCAUUAGCUUGUUGGUGGGGUAAUGGCCUACCAAGGCGACGAUGGGUAGCCGGCCUGAGAGGGUGUCCGGCCACACUGGGACUGAGAUACGGCCCAGACUCCUACGGGAGGCAGCAGUCGAGAAGCUUCGGCAAUGGGCGAAAGCCUGACCGAGCGAUGCCGCGUGAGUGAAGAAGGCCCUAUGGGUUGUAAAGCUCUGUCAGAUUGGGAAGAAAAUCCUACGGAUAAUACCCGUGGGACUUGACGGUACCAUCAGAGGAAGCACCGGCUAACUCC
This 500-nucleotide ribosomal RNA is filed under the name uncultured bacterium. RNAcentral's name for it is "bacterial SSU rRNA". It matches the Rfam family "Bacterial small subunit ribosomal RNA", at positions 30 to 504 of the family's 1533-position model. The record is from RNAcentral.